UACGGGGGGAGCAAGCGUUGUUCGGAUUUACUGGGCGUAAAGGGCGCGUAGGCGGCCAGCACAAGUCAGUUGUGAAAUCUCCGAGCUUAACUCGGAAAGGUCAACUGAUACUGUGCGGCUAGAGUGCAGAAGGGGCAACUGGAAUUCUCGGUGUAGCGGUGAAAUGCGUAGAUAUCGAGAGGAACACCAGUGGCGAAGGCGGCUUUCUGGGCAUUUCCUGACGCUGAGACGCGAAAGCGUGGGGAGCGAACCGG
This 254-nucleotide ribosomal RNA is filed under the name uncultured bacterium. RNAcentral describes it as "partial 16S ribosomal RNA". It matches the Rfam family "Bacterial small subunit ribosomal RNA", at positions 524 to 776 of the family's 1533-position model. The record is from RNAcentral.